This 2621-nucleotide long non-coding RNA is filed under the name Cyanoderma ruficeps (rufous-capped babbler). RNAcentral's name for it is "lncRNA (ENSCRFG00000006247.1)". The record is from RNAcentral. Lineage: Eukaryota; Metazoa; Chordata; Aves; Passeriformes; Timaliidae.
AUCAAACACUCAUUUUCUCCCAAAGGCAGUCCGUGUUGGAUUGCUGCCUCCCUGGGACAGACCCAGGGACAAGGCACCAGCUUUACCACACACCCUUGUCACUGCACAAAACCUGCCAGGGAACAGGGUGUUAAAACUGCACUGCUUUCAAAAAAUGUAAAUCAGGAUCUGUUCUUGGAAAACUGUUCUUUCAUUCAGAAACCACCACAUUUCUCUUACAAUGAAUCACGAAUCCACCCAGCUAAAUCUGCAAGAACUGAUCUGGAAGAUGAUAGCAAAAUGAUAAUAUGGAGCAGCAUUUUGUAUAAUGUUGACAUCUCUCCCAUUACUGUUUUACAUACGCCAAUACUGAGCACUCCGAAGGAACGAACAAGUAUUGACCUGCAAACUGACACUGAUCCUUGGAGCAAUCUCCAAGUUUGCCACAUUUCAAUUUCAAAAUGCAUUUCAGCUAUAAUAUGAGUGAUUUAUCAUUUAGCAGUAGCUGUCAAAGUAACCUCCUAGAUAAAACAAAAACAUCUGGAACCAUAAACAGAGGAGAGCAGUAGCUGAAUUUUAAUCCAAAUCCGACAUGUUCACUUCAUUAGGAACAGGAAACAGCUAAUUAGUAAUUGAAUGUUCUGUGGUUUUAAGGAGGCUCAGACUCUCCAAACCGAGAUGAUUUAAUACGUAUUUUGGAUGUAAGCACAAAUAAAGAUCACAGGAGCAAGGGACUUAACAACUCCAGAGGGACGUUUGGGAACCUCCAAAGAAAGGACUAAAAUUAGUUUCAGGCCAUUGGCUGAUGAAAAUUCUUGUCUUAAACCUAGGGGGGAAUUACUAAAGCCUGGGGGGUGGUCAGCAGAAAUGCAAGGAUUGAGCACUGUGGGGUUUGUUUCUGCUUUGGGGUUUUUUUCCCCUUUUUCUCAUGAUCAUUAGAAAGCUGCAUAUGACUUCUUCGUAGUGGAGGCUGUUCUUUAUGUUCUUAUUAAAUUUUAAGUAUUAUUUUUUAAAUCAAGGUAAGAUGAGGACAUUGAGGGUACUCUGGGCUGACUAAACUUUGGAACGGAUUUCCGUAUUUCCUUCCAAUCCCCUUUAUUCAUCAAGGAAAGUUCAGUGGAGGUAUCUAGAAUACCUGUAAGAGAGAAAAGUAAAUGCCACAGCUCAAGCCCAGGGCAGCCAUCCAGGAGACAUCAUUGAUCAGUGAACAGAAAAUGCACAGUUAAAUAUUUCCUUUUUUAUAACACCUUCAAUUAUUCUCUAGAAAUUAAAAUACUUUUUUGUUGCUGUGCAAUAAACUGAAUUUCAUGGCUUUAACCACAUCACACAGCAACCACCUCUGAGGAAUUAACGUGUUGGGAGCAGCUGUGCCCCCACUUACACAGGAAAGACAAUGUGAUGUUGUCAAAUUAAUCUUUUCUGGAGAAUAUUCACCAUCUCUUCAGUGCAGCUGACUGCAAGCUACAGACCAUUUUAUAGCACUUUACUGUAUUAUAUAGCAAAGAUUUGAAUAAAUCUGUGUGCAAUAAAUGUAUUCUUUUAUCAGGUUUAUCCCUUAAUCAAAUAUUCAUUUAUGUGGGCUUCAUUCUAUUAAAAAACGAAAUUAUACAAAGGUGAGCAAAAGCAUAGAUUUACAGUAGUUUAAAGCCUAAUCUCAUUCUCUAGGGGUAAUACUGACAAUAUAAAAACGGUACAAAUGAUAUUCCCUAACACUAAAUAUGCUCAUGAGCCCCCUGUGCAUGUUACACUGCUUUACAGCCUACAGAGCAAUGCAUGACUGGCUUAAUAAGCAAGACAUUUAGAAAGGAAGGGUUUUUUUCCCCUUCACAAUGUGUAAGACAAGUAAAGAUCUCCGAGUGAGCCAGGGUCUGUGUUAAUAACUGGAACUUUCCCUCAGGAUGGCAUUCUCUUCUCUGAGUUGUUAGCCCAGGGUAGGUGCAGCUCUUGUACUCUUUUAGCAACAGUAUCAUCAUUUGUUUUUUUUCUUUUAAGGUUUUAAUGGCUGCAUAAAGGACAAAUCCAAAGGCAAUAAUCAUAAUCUCCAUAUUUAUUCACGUUUAAUUUUUUCUUCCCGGCCUAUUCCACAUCUCUGAAUUCCUGAAUCCUUUGUUUGUUAGAUCUCUGGUUUAAAUCGGGAAUUCAGCUUUUUUUCCCUAAACAACUUUAAAACAAACCUUCCAUGUGUACCCUCCCCAUGUGCACUGGCAAUGCUGGUGUGCAAACCCAGUCCAGGGAGAGGAGAAACACCCUGACAGAAUCCACACCUUGGGAUUGCCAGGGCUCUGUAGGACAGCGUGAGCUGAGAAAAAAUUCACUGGAGGAAGGAAAUGUGGGAUCUGCUAUGUAGUGAGAAAACAGAUAAAUAUGUUGUAUCAGUAACUGUAAAUUAUCCAUGGAACUUCUAAGGUACAACCCAGCACUACAGGCUGCAGAGAACACGGGUAGCAGGGAUGAAAUAAUAAACUGGAAACCCUGCUCUGCCAGCUGAGCUGGAGGAGGAGCUGAGAGAGCAGCUGGAGUAAGGUGAGCUGGAGCUGAGAGCUGGCUGUGUGGCCAGAGCAGGGGCAGGAGGGACGAGGGCAGCCCUGUGCCAGGCUGUGCCCUCUGGGAGCCUCGGCACAGCUCCUGCUCCAGGGCUGGUG